This 537-nucleotide ribosomal RNA is filed under the name Dujonia santamariae. RNAcentral describes it as "LSU rRNA". It matches the Rfam family "Eukaryotic large subunit ribosomal RNA", at positions 85 to 638 of the family's 3401-position model. The record is from RNAcentral. Lineage: Eukaryota; Fungi; Ascomycota; Pichiomycetes; Serinales; Debaryomycetaceae.
AACGGCGAGUGAAGCGGCAAAAGCUCAAAUUUGAAAUCUAGCACUUUCAGUGUUCGAGUUGUAAUUUGAAGAAGGUAACUUUGGAAUUGGCUCUUGUCUAUGUUCCUUGGAACAGGACGUCACAGAGGGUGAGAAUCCCGUGCGAUGAGAUGUCCAAUUCUAUGUAAAGUGCUUUCGAAGAGUCGAGUUGUUUGGGAAUGCAGCUCUAAGUGGGUGGUAAAUUCCAUCUAAAGCUAAAUAUUGGCGAGAGACCGAUAGCGAACAAGUACAGUGAUGGAAAGAUGAAAAGAACUUUGAAAAGAGAGUGAAAAAGUACGUGAAAUUGUUGAAAGGGAAGGGCUUGAGAUCAGACUUGGUAUUUUGCGUUCCCUUCCUUUUUGGUUGGGUUCCUCGCAGUUUACUGGGCCAGCAUCGGUUUGGAUGGUAGGAUAAUGACAUUGGAAUGUAGCUUUACUUCGGUGAAGUGUUAUAGACUUUGUUGAUACUGCCUAUCUAGACCGAGGACUGCGUCUUUGACUAGGAUGCUGGCGUAAUGAU